UUUCAUUUCAUGGCCUCCCCAUCGUCCCCCUCCAAAGAAGCAACAGGAGAAAGACACUUCACCAAUCGCCACACACGGCCUUCGCCUCCGAAACGACGCCACUAGAACGUGAAUUCUGAAAGGAGGCUAAAAAAUGGUAUUGCUCCACAACCAAAAUCCGUCUCGGAAGAGGCCCUCCUCCUCUUUUGUCCCUCCUUUUCCUCCGGCCAAAAUCCCCAAAUCUCGAAACGACGGCGUUGCGGUUGAUGCAGUUGAAAAGAUGGUUUCAAUCUUAGCUGAGGGUGGUUGUACUUUGAUAAACCCCUUGGGCGCACCCUCCCUUCCCGCCGAUCCCUACAAGCUCCGCCGCUACCUCUCCGGCCGUUUUUCUUCUUCUUCUGAGGAUCGCUCCCUUUUCCUCUCUGGUUUCGCUUCUUAUAUUCAAUCUCCCUCCAAUCUUCGCAGGGUUCUUGUUUCAUCGGAUGGAAGUAGUUUUGCUCCCACCAGAAGUGAGAGUCUAGUCCGACAUCUUUUGCUGGUUGCACCAAUCCAACUAGACCUUCAGAUUAUGCUUCUUGAGAAACUUCCAGAAUAUUUUGACAUUGUUUCUGGUGAUUCACAAACAUUAUUGUCCCUUGAAGAUGAUGUUGCUAGGCUUAUCAUCAAUCAUCUUCGGUGGCUUGAUUUUGUUGUUGAUCCUAGUUCCUUUACCGAUAAGUUAAUGCAAGUCCUUUCCAUUUGCCCUUUACACUUGAAAAAGGAGAUAAUUGGAUCAUUGCCGGAGAUUGUUGGUGAUCAAAAUAACAAGACUGUGAUUGAUUCCCUUGAACAAAUGCUUCAUGAGGAUCCAUCCAUAAUUGUUCCUGUGCUUGACUCGUUUUCAAACUUCAAUUUGGAUGAUCAGUUGCAAGAGCAGGUCAUAACCAUUGCACUAUCAUGCAUUAGAACAAUUGAUGCAGAGCAAAUGCCGUGGCUGCUUCGAUUUUUACUGCUCUCUGCCACACAAGUAAAUGUUCGCAGAAUAAUCUCACAAAUACGUGAGCAUUUAAAGUUUCUCAGGGUGCCAAAUGCUCACACAUUGCAAAAAAAUAAACUCAAAGGGAAGUUGCUUGUUGACAACACAGAGGCAUCUAUUCUAGAUGCCUUGAGAUCUAGUCUUCAAUUUAAGAGUAUACUCUGUCAGGAGAUUUUGAAGGAAUUGAAUGGCCUUGAGAAACCUCGAGAUCACAAAAUCAUAGACAUAUGGUUGCUUGUGCUAUUGUACACAAAUGGUGAGUCCAUGCGAAAAAGCGUUGAGAAGGUAUUUAAGAAGAAAGUCAUAGAAGGUUGCAUUCAGGAAGUUAUGCUUGAUCAGUGCAUUUAUGGGAACAAGGAACUGGCAAAGGAAUAUUUCCUGUCCUUGCUUUCUUUAUCUGAGUACCUAUUGGCAUGCAAAGAACAAAAGGCAAGGGAUUUUGGCAUUUACAUGUAUACUCUUCUUUUUGAAGAGUUUGCUGAUACUUAUUCAAGACAGGAAGUUCUUGGUGCACUAGUCACUCAUGUGGGCUCUGGUGUCAAGUCUGAAGUAAGUUCUGCUCUGCAGAUUAUGGCUUCACUGGCCACAAACCAUGCACAGGAAUUAAUUCCACUUUCUUCUCAUAUAAAUGGAAUCUUGGACUACUUGGAGGGACUGACUGUUGAAAAUCUUCAUAAGGUUUACGAGGCCUUCAGCCAUAUGGCACUGCUAGCUCGCUCUAGUUCUGACUGUUUUGGCUCUUCCAUUGCAAAUGAACUCUUGAUAAUUGUUCGAAAGCAGCAUCACCCUGCAAUUGGGCAGGUCAGCCAUCCAGAUCUGAAGUACAAAAAGAUGGGCCUCAUUGGAAUCUUGAAAAUUGUUUCAUGUCUUGGGGAUGCAAGUAAUGUCACAUUAUCAUCACCUUUUCAGGUGGGACCUGUUAUCAUUAAAUCAAAUACUGAGGAGGCUUUGGAGCUCCUUGAAACAUCCCUGGAAUCUUGCAAACAGUUGUGCUUAUCAGUGAUCUUCUUUUACGAUGAACUGACUGCAAUUUUGGAAAGUAGAACUCUUCACCCUGUCAUCAUGGACUGGAUUGGCAAGCAUGUAGGAGAAUUUGAAUCUAUUUUUCUGUCUGAUCUUGAUGGUGGGCAAUUGCCUAGCAGGAAUUCAUAUUGUGGUUUAGAAGGGGAGCUAUGGAUGAACUUGGAUGGUGAAAUAUCUCCUAUUUGUCUGAACAUUCUGCCAUUAGCUUCUUCUUCGCAGUCUGCUUGUUUGCAAUUUCUUCCUGCUAACUUUCAUUUACUAUCAGCCGUUGAAAGGUUGACAAAUCAAGGAUCUCUUGGUGGAAUUGAUGCAUUACUGGGCUGUCCUUUGCUCCUUCCCUCGUCUAAGUACUACUCAGAAGCUGAAUGGCUGUCUCUGACAGGAAAGCAGAAACAGAUUAUUUCUCUCUCUCUUUAUUAUGCAGUAAACUGGCUACGGGAACUGCUUAAUGCCUUCUGCACACAAGUAGCUGGAAGAUUUGAAUUUACAAGUCAGUCGACAAAAGAGGACAUAACGUUGAAGCUGUUAAAGCGAUUGAGGAACCUAGUAUUUCUGGAAAGCUUGUUAAAUCAUUCCAUCAGAAUGUGUCCUGUAGGACUACCUCAGCUCCAUCUUCAAAUAGAGCAUUGUGGAUUGACGCUCAUAAACCAACCAAACCAUGUGGGGAAUAUGGAAAAGAAGAAUGAGCCUAAGAUGACACAUGAACGCUCAUCCACAAACGAGAGGAAGCAUAAAAAGAUUGCCAAGACCUCAACGACAGGUACAGAUGGAAAACUCCGCCAGCCAACAUUGAUGGACGUGUUGAGGAAAGCAGGAGUAGAGACAAGCCAAGAGAUGACAAAUGAAGUUUCUUCAAAGGAGAGGACCUCAGCAUCAGUAGAUCGGCAAUCCCAUGUCUUUAAUGAAUCUGUGCUUAUAGAAGUUUCUCCAGUUGCACAAGGUCUAGAAUCACAGAAAUUUAGGUUCAGGCCUCUUUUAUUGGAAUGCUUCUCCAUUUUGACCUUUUCAAAGAACCAUGACUCCUGCUGCUCUGACCCUGUGGCUGAGUUACCCCUAUACCUGUACCUCAUUCAUGAUCUUCACUGCAAGUUGGAUUCCUUUGCUGCUCGGGGCAAACACUGCUCCUCAAGAAGCUUGAGUUCUGCUGCUUUUACCAGGAUGACAUUGGAUGAAUUUCUUAGCAAAAUUAGACCACUCUUUCCAAGUCUUAAGAGAAAUUUAGAUAUUGCAUUCUGUAGUCUUAAAGAAGGUAAUGAAACUUGUCAAGAACACUGGAACAUUCAAUCUGCUGCUGCUCACAGCCCAGAUAUAAUCAACCUUGUCCCAUCAAAAUCUUCAAUUUCUACUAUGGUGUAUAAGGAAGUACUUCAUAGUUUCAGUAAGAUGCUAAACCUACCUGAAGUACAAAGGAAUAAAUCAGUUCUUUCAGAUCUCCUUAAAGCCUUUCAGCCCAAUGAAACAUUUGAUGCUGGUGCCUCAGAUGUACAGCCUUGUCCUUCACCUGGUACAAUCGAAUAUUCAUAUCUUGGGGCUUGUUCAUUUGUGGAAAGUAUCCUCCAUGCAGCAUGUUCUUUCUCCUUUAUUCUGGCAUCAGAGGCUCUUUUCACUCUGGAAUCAGCUGUUACAUCAGUUUCAAAUGUCAUUGAUAAGUUGGAGGGAGAUGAUGUAAACAUACAGUCAAGGUUUAGCCAUAUCCUUCCUUUCUUGCGUGGCAGACUUGGAUCGUCUGCUCGGAAACUUUUAAAGCAUAAGUGGGAUGACGAAAAUCUUGAGAAUGGCUGGAAGAACAAAGGAGAAAUAGUACAAAAGAUACUGCAGAUCCACUUGGAAUAUACGGAAUCAACUGCUGAUUUGCUAGUUGAUCUUGCGUGCACAAUUUUGCCACAGGUUUCUUGUACAACAACGGCAGAAGAUGAGGAUUAUGGUUACCCAACUCUAUGUUCUGCAACAUUUCUCUCCUGGUACCAUGUACUGUUUGAAGUGAACCUCACAGUUCUUGACCAAUUGGUUAAGGAAGUUGUUCACUUGGAGAAGUGCCGACCUGGUUUUCAACCUGAAAAUGUUCACACACAUUUGAUCAAGAUGCAAAAGAACGUGAAUGUGGUUGUUGCACUAGUUAACAUGUGCAGAACCUAUGACAAGGUCACCCUGCAUGCCAUGGCUGUCAAGUAUGGUGGGAAAUUCAUCGAUUCCUUCCUUAAAGCUUUUGACUUCUUGCAGGUUCACUUCCAAAUGCAUAAUGAAGUCAUAAUUCUACUGGUGAAAGAACUUCAAAAGGCUACAAGAACAAUUCAGACCCUAUGUUCUGAAGCAAAGGGCUUGAAGCAAACAGCCAUCACUGGCAAAAUACCUGCUACCAAAAGAUCUUUGGAACGCUUUUUGUUUCGUGUCAAGGCUCUUCUCCAUACAACAUCUAGUGGAUGCACUUUCUGGAUGGGUAAUCUAAAACACAAGGAUCUCAGAGGUCAGGUGGUCAGUUCCCAGGCAUAUGUAGAUGAUCGAAAUGACAGCAUUGAUCAAGAUCCUGAGGAUGUGGAUCCACCAGUCGUUGCCACUGCUAGUGGAAACAGUGAAACAGACUGAAGAGAGACUGAGACUAUGGAUCAAGCAGUGCAGGUCCUUUUUAAGCUGUAUGACAUGUGAAGAUACACAUUUGUGAAUUAGUUGUUUGUGUGAUAUCUACGACAAACGAAAAUUGUACAAAAAGGGAAAUAGGGAAGCAGAGAGAGAGGAGACGUAAGAUGAAGGAACAAUUCUUGAUGCAUGGUGUAUUUCAUUACCUAUUCAAUAUUUCAUUUAUUGAAGUUGAAGGUUUUACACACAUAUCCACGUAGUAUGGGUGGAAUUACUUUAGAUGACGUUAGUGGACAGGUAACAGCAAGCUCUUAGAUCCUGCAAACCCAAAAAUUAAGAUUAAAAAUGCCAAUUGCCUUCUCGUUUUAAUUUGUUCCUAAGCUUUAUUAAGUGUGAGACUAAGCUCUUCAUUGGACCAGGCAACUCUCUUCUGGCAGAAGUAAAUAUUCUAUGCAUGCUCUCAA
Theobroma umbraticum is the source of this 5055-nucleotide non-coding RNA. The record is from RefSeq and is a predicted model, not a curated record. NCBI's taxonomy places the organism in Eukaryota, Viridiplantae, Streptophyta, Magnoliopsida, Malvales, Malvaceae.